RNAcentral lists this transfer RNA (73 nucleotides) under Pelecanus conspicillatus (Australian pelican). Its description in RNAcentral is "tRNA-Val". The record is from RNAcentral. Lineage: Eukaryota; Metazoa; Chordata; Aves; Pelecaniformes; Pelecanidae.
CAAGACGUAGCUUUAAUACGAAAGCACUCAGCUUACACCUGAGAGAUAUCCGUUACCUGCCGGGUCGUCUUGA